UACGUAGGGGGCAAGCGUUGUCCGGAAUUAUUGGGCGUAAAGCGCUUGUAGGCGGCCAUUUAAGUCCGCUGUGAAAUCUCGAGGCUCAACUUCGAGCUGUCGGUGGAAACUGUCUGGCUAGAGUCCGGAAGAGGAGAAUGGAAUUCCUGGUGUAGCGGUGAAAUGCGCAGAUAUCAGGAAGAACACCCGUGGCGAAGGCGGUUCUCUGGGACGGUACUGACGCUGAGACGCGAAAGCGUGGGGAGCGAACAGG
RNAcentral lists this ribosomal RNA (253 nucleotides) under uncultured bacterium. RNAcentral describes it as "partial 16S ribosomal RNA". It matches the Rfam family "Bacterial small subunit ribosomal RNA", at positions 524 to 776 of the family's 1533-position model. The record is from RNAcentral.